GUUUCCAGCAGCAGAAAACCCGAAAUGGCUGCUGAGCUUGUCUUGGAGAUUUCGGGGUGUGCUGUGUCUACUGAGUGAUGCAGAGGUGCUGAGACACACGCUCCGGGCUGGAAGCAUCUUCCUCAGUACUGGAGAUCGAACUCAUGACCGCCUGCUUGCAAGGCACGUGCUUAUGCCGCUGAGCUAAAUCCCCAGCCCCGAGCACGUUUCUUGUAGCAACACUGCUUUGCUGGAGGAAGCCGCCACCUUCUCCGCACCCGCCUCCUCCAACCCUUUGGGGUUCCCUUUGACACAGGGGAGCCCACAACAGGAGCCCAGCCCUCAGGCUGAUGGGGCAAGAGCCCCUGGAGGGGACCGUGGGGCCCACACCUCCGGCUUCUUGAGCCCUCCCAGUGUAUUCUGCCACUGUGACGCCACCUUGAGGCCUUCAUCGCAUCCAGCUGGCGCUAAGUGAGCCUCAGCGUACUGUCACAGAGCAGAGUGACAGCUUCUCCCAAGCCCUCGCUCUCCCGGGUCCUGAAGGAAAUUCACUCCCAUGCUCAGGACACCGCCUCCACGUGCGUCCCACCGCGUCCUCCGCCUGCUCCUGUCACCCUCGCUCCGUCCAGACACUCCAACAGCUCCACGGCCUUGCCUGCUCUCUACACCCGCUGCAUCCCUGUAUCUCCAGCCUCAUUUUCUGGGUAGUUUUGAGUCUGAGGCUGGGUCUUGCUAAGUUUCCCUGGCUGGCCUUGAACUGCUGCUUCAGCCUCCCAAGUGGGGAUCUUAGCACCUCCAGUGGCUGCGGCCUGAUUUUAAACGCGCUGUCUACAUCAGUCAUCCCCACGGACACAGGAUCUGUCCGGGGCUGCCCUGCGCUACCCCUGGAUGUGGAAACCUCGCUUCCUCUCCAUCACUGGAUCUUGGUGGUCAGUGGAACUGUAUGAAGUCCACUGAGGACAAUGCAGCACGGUGGAUUAUGAUGGUAACCUGCCCAUCCACCCCUUCUGCCCCGGCCUGCACUGGCUAAUCAGACAGCGGAGACCCUGGAUCUCCGUUCCCAAGAACACUGAUGGCCCACAGUGCAUCCACCCCCUCCUUUCCUGUCUCUGUGCGCUGUCACUCGGUGACACACUCCCCUGGCUCAUGCCCUGAGGCCUUCAGGACAGGAUGUGCAGCCCUCCGGGUAACACUCAGCCUCGAGGGUCCGAGGGUCCGGGCAGCCUCUUCUCUUACUGCUCCUCGCUAGGCCCUGGCUCCAGUGUCCCGUCCAGGGUCUUUCACUCCCAGGACUCCUGCCGUGCCCGGCACACACUGACUGCUUGGACAGUGGACGGCGCUGAGGCAGAGCUGCAGGCCUCCCGCAACCUGUUCCCGUGCAGUGGAAAAGCCAGGGCGUCACUGUUCUAGGUUGUCGAGGUGGCCACUACCUUUCGCAGGUUCCUGGUCAGGAGCUGGGGCGGGGGCUUCUGGAGGCAUCUGCUGCUCGGCCACCGGGGCUGCCAGGUCAGGAGCCUCAGCCAUCACUGGCUGAUAGGCGAACGGGUAGAAUGCUUGAGCUUGCUCAAGGGAAUAGCUGGAAAGACAAGUGGUUCACAGUGAUCAUCAAAUUAUCUGAAUGGGAGGUUUUGUCUGUUUUUACAAUAUUAGUGAUCAAAGCCACAGGCUGAGCCACAUCCCUAGCCUUCUUCAAGCUUUUCUCCUGUUGAAGAAGAGUUCAGGGUGUAGCCCAGGCUGGUCUCAAAUGCUCCGUCCUCCUACCCCAUCCCCAGUGCAGGGGUUGCAGCUCUGUACACUGGGGCAGCCUAAAUGCAAGUUUAAAUGGUCAGCUGUAAGAUGACUCCCCAGAUCCCGAUAUCCUGUCAGCAGGCUGUAGUAUCUACCGAGAGGACGUAAUGGUGGAGGAGGUACUAGCUCCUAGGCAAACAGCCUCCCUCUCCCAGUGCUUUAGACAGGACACGGUCCCUGAUGACACCAAGUGUCACCCACAACUCCUGCCCGCUGUGUCAAGUCGGCCUGCUUCUGGGGUUUUCUAGUGGACAGACUUGCAAGGCCCGUCCCCCCGGGCGUUAGCCUGUUCAGAUGCAAUGUGUGUCCCCAGCCUCUGGGAUGUAGUUUUCUGUGGAAAGAUCCCCUUCAACCUACAUCAUGGUUUUCUUUUGAUGCAUUCACCUAUUUUCUUAUGUACUCACUAGACCUGGCUUUUGUUAUUGCUGGCUGUGGUUUGUCACCCAGUGGGGCUAGGAAUGAUUGUUUUCAUAAAAAUCUAUUCAAUUUAUGAGAAAAAAAUCUCUAAGCUCUUCUGAACACUGUUCAAUUCUGUUUAAAGGAAGGAACAUGGGGGCCUUAGAAGAAAACCUUCACACGCUGUCCAGUAAUUGGGAGUCCUUCCCUUAGGCUGCUGCUGCCAGCCCAAAGCCUGGGCAGUGAACAGAGGAAGAGUCCGGAAGAGGGCGCCAUCAUCAGGAAGGAAGCUGGACGCAUCGAGCACGUAGAAGGCACUGGGCAGCCUGUGUCUGCUGCAUGGAGAAAGGUCAGAGGGGCGAGGCCCUGUAGUGAGAUGGUUCAGAGACGGGAGCCAGGACACGACCUCAGUAUGGGUUGUGCAGGCUUGCAUGCUGGAUGCUCCAACGGGAGAAAACACGGCUGAGAACCAGUGAGAACAGCACUGAUCUGUAUCUAGAGAGCCUUACUUUUUGAAUACAUCAUUCUUUUUUUUUCUUUUGGUACAGGGGAUCGAACUCCCAACCUAGCACUUGCCAGGCAGGCGCUUGUGCCACUGAGCUAAAUCCCUGGCCUUGAAUACACCACUCUUAACUUAUGCAAAAAUUAAGAGACAGGGAGUUAAUAAACUACAGUAUACUGACAUGAGAAUACUGGGCUGCUAAUAGAAACUGGUCCCACUGAUCUAAAAGCACGGGAAAGUUUAAUUUUUAUUUUAUUUUGUUUUGCUUUGUUUUGUUUUUGGUACCGGGAACUGAACUCAGGACCUCAAGUUUACUAGGCAGGUGCUAUGUCACUGAAGUCUUAAUGUGUCACCCCCACCUCUUAAUAUAUAUUUUACAGUAAAAAAUAAAUAAAUAAAUAUAUAUAUAUAUAUAUAUAUAAAGUAGCACAUAAGCUAAAGCUGCACAUAGAGAAAAUAUACAGACAUGGGACAGAGGUUAAAUGUUUAAAAAAUACAUUAUUUGCCUAUUUGACACAGGGUCUCACUAUGUAGUUCAGGCCAGCCUCAAACUCACGAUGUAGCCUAGAUUGGCCUUCAACUUGUGAUCCUCCUGCGUCAACUUCCUGAGUGCUAGGAUGACAGGUGUGUGCCACUACUAAAAUGUUAUAGUAAAGGAAAGUGAUGAGCUCAGAACUGUGCUCAGCACAAAGCAAAAUGCCCUCUUUUUGCAGGAUUUUCUUUAGUAGCACUAAUAACUCUCUUAAAUUGUUGAAACACUGGCUAUUCGCUGCUUAUGAUCUAAAUAUUCUAAGGAGAACCUGGAUACAGUUAAGAUCAGACUGCGAGAUCUGGAGGAGUGAUACUCAGAGGAUUCUAAUAAAAUGACCAGGUGCCUUGACCGUGGACAGUGGCAGUUCUGACACCAGCACUGCGAUCACUUUCGGACUGAACACCUAGCAGUGAACCUGACACCCGGUUCCGCUUCAGCCCUGGAACACCCCCAGGUGCUCGUCUGCUCCAAGGCAAGCCUGUGCCUGUGCAAGGUAAUGGCAGGGUGUGACAGCGGAAGACGCUGCUAGAAGAGGCCUGGCUGGAAGACCAUCACUGGGGACGGGGCCUGGAAGGUCUGUCCCCCUCCAGGACUGCUUCCUGGCUGCUGCGAGAGGGGCAUCUGUCCUCCACACCAGGCCACUGCUGCUUGGAGCCUGCCAUCCAUGCCCUGAAACUUCUGGAACGGUGAGGGGAAAUAAACCUCUCGAGUUGCGAGUGUCAGAUAUUUUGUCCUGGCCGGAGAAAGUGACUAAAGCAUGCUCUGGUACCAAGAGGGGGACCACUGUUGAGACCACGUCCAGCCACGUGGUGCAGCAGCCUUCGGCAUUGGUUACCAGGAGGAGUCUGGAAGGUGGGAAGAUGUCUGCUGGAGAAGCCUUCGCAUGCUGUGAGCUGAUGAUGGAGACUCUGGUCAGAAGUCAGAAGAUCAGAAAACAGACAGAAAGGUGGUUGGUCAAGACUGGCUCGGGAGGUUUCAGCUCGGACAGGAAUACCAUUCAGAGCUGGACUCCAGGCCAUGUGGGUUGCGCUCUAGCAGAAAAUUUGUCUACAUGCUGCCCACAUUCUGAGACUUUCUGGAGGACUGAGCUAAAGGGGUGGUGGCCCAAUGAACCUAGGAGAGGAAAUUUCAAGGCAGCCCAAAGUUCGGGCACGGUAUGGAUACUUCUGGCUGCUGUCAGUCAGGUUUUACAGUGUGAAUCAGGAGCAAUGGUAAAACUAAAUGAUUUUAGGGCUUUGUAGUUUCACCAGAAAGGAAGAGCCAACACGUGGGGCCACAGAGAGUACAGCUUCUGAGAUUAACGUUAAAAGAAGCCAAUUGCUUUGCCUAAGUGAAACAGGAACGAGACCCUGAGGACAUCUCAGGAAUCAGCAAGACACUCCGAACCCUACCAAACAUGUGCAGCAGUGGAAGACAGCCCAGGGCACUCUGUUGGAGAAAGGCUGCACAGGAAACUGGUUCCCUGGGAUCUGAGUCAGUGCCCGGCCAUCCAGGCACUUGGAAGCCUCUGUAGCCAAGGUCUAAGAGGGCCUGCUUGGGCUGGUGGCAGACCCUGGCGUGAGCCACAUGGGCAAGCACAAUGCAAGAACUGUAGGGUCAGGGAGGCUUCCACUCACAUUUCAGACGAGGGCCUGGGAGUGUGUGUGGCUGAGUGAAGCCAAAAGCACAGUGGGGACCCAGGAAAGCUGGAGGCAACAGGAGUGGGCUUGUCUCCUGAGGAGAGCCGCACGCAGUCAGGCAGAGGCCAGCCUCAGAGGGAGGUCAUGACAACUGCACUGAGCAUGCGGCAGCGGCAGGGCUUCCCACGCCUUUGGAACCCACAUCCUGCCCCAGCCUGUCCUGGGGUCCUGGACAUGAAACUACAAGCUAGUAUUUGCCCUGCUGGCUUCCAGCCUUGCUUUUGUCCAGUUCCUUUUCAUCCUCCUGUUCUUCCCUCUAGAAUGACAAUGUUUGUGCUGCGCCAGUGUAUGCUCAAAGCGUUUACCUUUGCUUUUUUGAUUUUUACACGGGCUCAUAGCUAAGAGUUUGCCUCUACUCUUGGAGAAGGCUCGACUUUUCAGCAAUGCUGGAACUGUUAACACUUUGGCAAACCUCAGAGACAGACUAAAUGCAUUUUACAUAAAAGAUACACAUGAGUCCUGAGGGGGCCAGGGCCACAAUAUUCUGCUUUAGAUCUAGAAUGACCCCCAAAACUCCCAUGCACUCAUGGGGUGCAGGUGGGGCUCUCUGAAUGUGAUCCUAUCAUGGGGGUGCUGUGGCUAAACAGUGCCACACCAGGAGAGCCUGGUAUGCAGCGACAGACCACCGGGGCGUAACUUAGAAGGUGGUUCUCUGCCCGGGCUCCUCUCUUCUCUUUCCUCCUGCCUGGCUGCCCGGAUGUGGACAGUCCUCCACCUCAGACCCUUCUGCAUGCCGUUUCUGUGUGCCAGUCAGCACUGAAACAUCUAACAUUGUGACACAAAGCAAACCUCUCCCCCUCUCCCUUUAAGUUGUGGGUGGCAGCUACUUUGUCCCAGCGAUGAUAAAGUGACUAAGAUAUACUUGUGUUUUGCAGUUCUGGGGAUCGAAGCCAUGGCUUACCCACACCUCAUGUGAUCACAAUAAAUGAAUGACCUGAAGAACACAGUAGGUUCGCCAGUCUGUCACUGUCACAUGGUCAGGAAGGCAACGCACCUGCUGCUAACCCACAUUUCACACUAACAUUCUCAGUGCCACUUAGAGCACCUGACAAAACCCAGUCCACACUGAGACAGCACUCACAUUAUAAAAGGCUUCUUCACUUUUAAAACUGUCACCUGAAAUGUGGUUCCUUAAUAUAGCUAGGGGCCAUUUAAGUAUCUUUUGAAAGUCUGGAACUCAGAAACUAAAAAUUAAAUCCUAGAAGUCACUGUUGGCAAUUAAGAAGUGAAAAAUAAACAACAAAAAUAAUCUGACCUGCUAUCUCA
Cavia porcellus (domestic guinea pig) is the source of this 6142-nucleotide long non-coding RNA. RefSeq lists it as uncharacterized. The transcript is spliced from 2 exons. Lineage: Eukaryota; Metazoa; Chordata; Mammalia; Rodentia; Caviidae. The record is from RefSeq and is a predicted model, not a curated record.